GAUGAACGCUGGCGGCGUGCCUAACACAUGCAAGUCGAGCGAACGGACGAGAAGCUUGCUUUUCUGAUGUUAGCGGCGGAUGGGUGAGUAGCACGUGGAUAACCUAUCUAUAAGACUGGGCUAACUUCGGGAAACCGGAGCUAAUACCGGAUACUAUUUUGAACCGCAUGGUUCAAAAGUGAAAGACGGUCUUGCUGUCACUUAUAGAUGGAUCCGCGCUGCAUUAGCUAGUUGGUAAGGUAACGGCUUACCAAGGCAACGAUGCAUAGCCGACGUGAGAGGGUGAUCGGCCACACUGGAACUGAGACACGGUCCAGGCUCCUACGGGAGGCAGCAGUAGGGAAGCUUCCGCGAUGGGCGAAAGCCUGACGGAGCAACGCCGCGUGAGUGAUGAAGGUCUUCGGAUCGUAGAACUCUGUUAUUAGGGAAGAACAUAUGUGUAAGUAACUGUGCGCAUCUUGACGGUACCGAAUCAAAAAGCCACGGCUAACUACGUG
This 497-nucleotide ribosomal RNA is filed under the name uncultured bacterium. RNAcentral describes it as "partial 16S ribosomal RNA". It matches the Rfam family "Bacterial small subunit ribosomal RNA", at positions 28 to 507 of the family's 1533-position model. The record is from RNAcentral.